Entelurus aequoreus (snake pipefish) is the source of this 390-nucleotide long non-coding RNA. RefSeq lists it as uncharacterized. The transcript is spliced from 5 exons. The record is from RefSeq and is a predicted model, not a curated record. NCBI's taxonomy places the organism in Eukaryota, Metazoa, Chordata, Actinopteri, Syngnathiformes, Syngnathidae.
CAGGUAAUCAUGUAAAGCAGCUGGCUAAUUUCCACACAAAAGCGAUUCGCCAUUAAAGAGUGGCGCUGUGGCCCCGUUCAAAUACACGAGUACAUCCAAGGCGUCUUUGCGUCACACUUCAGGGAGGUAAACACAGCAGUCAAGUGGAGAGGACGCUGAGUCAAGCGUGAAGAUCAAUCUACCUGCGUCAGGGCCAGCACCCACCUGCUCCCAGGUGUCACCAUCCAAUGUCCAUGAAGGGAAAGAGUUUCCACACAGUAUUCUGGACAUCUGUGUUGGUGAAUCUUUUGCAAUGGAGACUGCAAAGAAGAAAGCUGUAAGUGGGAUCGGUGUAUUAGCGGUGGACUACAGCAACACAACCAGGAGGACUUUGAGAUGGAUAGCAGACCC